GUCGGUUUGAGGCGGGCUGGCGCAGGCGCGGUGCAGCCACCCUGUGACCGAGGGUGUCGAUGUGGCAUAUCCGCACAGACCACGCAGGGCGGGAGGUGGGCCGGUCAGGUGGCUUGUGCCCAGCUGUCCCAUAGGCAGGGGCUCACCAGGAGCUGUUGUGCAGAGCAGAUAUCUAAUCUAGAUGGACCACCUUGAGCAACGGGGAGGAGGUGGAGAACUGGACAUCGUGCCAAGCCUGGCUCAGCCUGCUUCUGGAGCGGGGGAUGUCAUUAAGAUCUUGUCUGCAAAGAUUGUGUAUGACAAAGCUGUUGAGAUGUCCCAUGAGUAACCUGGAGAAGAUAUUCUAUCUCAUGUCCCUUUAGAGCUGAAGGCAAGCUGCAGCUGAGAGGCUACUGAAAUAGAAAACCUCUGUGAUUUUUUCAUGAUUUUCACAA
Microcebus murinus (gray mouse lemur) is the source of this 434-nucleotide long non-coding RNA. RefSeq lists it as uncharacterized. The record is from RefSeq and is a predicted model, not a curated record. Lineage: Eukaryota; Metazoa; Chordata; Mammalia; Primates; Cheirogaleidae.